GGAAAGAAUAAGAAAAAUAAUUUUUGUAAUUUUAGUAAUUUUUAAUGAAAAUAAAGUAAAGACUAAAGAGAAAAGUACUGUGAAGGAAAGUUGUUAAAACUUUUUAUAGAAGAAGUAAAAUUUUGUGCCUCGUGUAUCAGAAAAAGUUUAUAUAGUUUAGUUACAAUAAGUAUCUCGAAAUAAAAUACAGUAAUUUUUAUAAAAUUUUCUUUUUAGAAAAAAAGAAUUUAAUAUAAAAUUUAAAGUGAAAUGCUAGCUGAGUUUUAUGAUAUCUAGUUUUUUUAAAAAUAAAUUUAAUUUAAUUUUUAUAAAGAAAAAGUUAUAAAAUUAAAUGGUAGGGGGGAUUAGCUCUUUACGGAAAAGAUAAUGAAAUAGUUAAAUAAAAGUAAAUUAUAUAUAAAUUAGGCUUAGAAGUAGCUAUAUUGAAAAAGUGUUUUAACUAAAUUAUAAUUGCUUGAAUAUUUAAAAUAAAACUUUUCUUAGGUAUAAAAAAAUGGCUUAAACAAAACAAAACAAGAUAUGAUGAUUUUAUUAGUAAAAUUUAUUGAGUAAAUAAAGAUAUUAAAAGGUAAAAAUUGUUUAAAAAAAUAAGUA
This 594-nucleotide ribosomal RNA is filed under the name Macrophthalmus banzai. Its description in RNAcentral is "partial 16S ribosomal RNA". The record is from RNAcentral. Lineage: Eukaryota; Metazoa; Arthropoda; Malacostraca; Decapoda; Macrophthalmidae.